This 405-nucleotide ribosomal RNA is filed under the name uncultured bacterium. RNAcentral's name for it is "partial 16S ribosomal RNA". It matches the Rfam family "Bacterial small subunit ribosomal RNA", at positions 29 to 526 of the family's 1533-position model. The record is from RNAcentral.
AUUGAACGCUGGCGGCAGGCCUAACACAUGCAAGUCGAGCGAGCGGCGGACGGGUGAGUAAUGUCUGGGAAACUGCCUGAUGGAGGGGGUAUCUACUGGAAACGGUAGCUAAUACCGCAUACCAUCAGAUGUGCCCAGAUGGGAUUAGCUCGUAGGUGGGGUAACGGCUCACCUAGGCGACCAUCCCUAGCUGGUCUGAGAGGAUGACCGGCCACACGGGAACUGAGACACGGUCCAGACUCCUACGGGAGGCAGCAGUGGGGAAUAUUGCGCAAUGGGCGAAAGCCUGACGCAGCAACGCCGCGUGAGUGAAGAAGGCCUUCGGGUUGUAAAGCACUGUCAGCGGGGAAGCGUUACCCGAAGAAGAAGCACCGGCUAACUCCAUGCCAGCAGCCGCGGUAAUAC